CAGAUAUGGCUAGGAAUGAAUCUUUACUGAAACCCUGCAGAGAUACUGUUAGUUAGGGCAGACCACACAUUGCAAAAGUGCCAAGUUCUCUACUAUUUUUAGAAUGACUUCAGAGGUGGUCCUAACAUUAAAUCAUGCCAAAAUUGUUGUUGUUGUUGUUACCCAUGGGGGGGGUGAUUGCGUUAUUAUGCAUGUAUUAUACCUGAAGUCUUGAACUGCCUUGGGCUAGCGUUCGCCUGAGUGAAUAUUGCUGAAACCUCAUUGCAAUGUGGUUUUUUUCCAUCAAUCCUAUUUUGUUUUCUGCUGUUUUCUUUUUUGAAAGUUUGUUUUGCUGUCUAAUAAAAGCCAGUCCCUGCUUUGACUUGAGCUUAUUAUUUAUUACUACCCUCCACCUUUCCUUUGCAAGGGAGGUGGCAAUCUGUUCUCUUUUUCUUCCCCCCCUUUAAAAAAACCUUUCAUAAUCUUUGCUCUCUCCAUCCCCAGAUUUCAGAAAUCGGUGACUAUUAUGUAACAGAUGGUCUGACAGACCUCCGACUCUUUGACGUGAUGGCUUGCUUGGCGUAGAACAUAGCGGCAGUGGAGUAAGUAUUCAGAAAGAUAGACGCUCAUGAAUUUUAACUCUCUCAUGACAAAGGAAUUCAAGGGGGCAAGGGCUGAUCUAUCAGUUGCCGAAGUAAUUAAAAGACUUAGAUGGCUCUCUAGGACAGAGUAUCCCUUCACUGUUACAGGCUGUUUAUACUGGAUUAGCCUUGUCCAUGCCCCAUUCAUCUAUAUAUGAAUAACUAGAACAAAACAAUGGGCCAGCCUUAAUCCAGAAAUUGAUACAUUCCAACAAGCACCAGCCAGGGCUGUUCUUUUAGUUUUUAAUGAAAUGUACAGUGUGCCAUCAAGAUGGGGCAUGCCACAGCAAAAUGAGUAGCCAUUUUGAUUGCUGCUUUUGAUACUCUGGCUUAAUUGCCAUAGUUUCAGUGGUGUAAAAUCCACUUUUUCUAAUACUAAUUGGGAUGCUGAGGUUUUGCCCUUUCAGCUUUAGCAGUUUGAGAGACACAACAGCGGCAAAAGUUGGACCACUUUCUGGUGGUGAAAAUGUAAAGAAUGAAAACUUUGCAAAUGCACGAUUCACACCAGGCUCUUUCUUCUGCUUACCCUGGAUAGUCAUUCUGUCACUUGUAAGGGGUAGUAAUAUGCUUGUCUCCAGGGUUGUGGGCAAGGCAAAUGCACCUUGUCAAGGGUGAGGAACCUCAGGUCUGCAGGGUCAAAAGCUGCUCUCCAAAUGUCUUUAUCUAGCACCCUUCGCCAACACUGCUAUGCGCUGUCUUUGAGUGCUUUUUCCUGGCUGAAAUGUUCUUGUAAACUGUUGCAAUGCAUGUUGCUUGCCUGAGUGGAGGAUGAAGAUAGAUGGUUGGGUGAGGGUAUAAAUACAGCUGAUGGUUGUGUGGCUUGAAUGCACCUGACUGUACGAAGGUAAGAAUCACAUGCAUUUAACUUCUGCCUGGCCCUGCAUGUGGCCUCCGGGGGCUUGCCCACAAGGGAAUUUGACCCUCUGCCUGACAAAGGUUCCCAGCCCCAGGUAUAGGUGGCUUCCUACACACCAAAGCUUAAAGGGUCUCAGGUACCAGGGUUUGGAAGGACCUGUGCUUGAGAACGUGAAGGGCUAAUGCCAGUCAGGAUAGACUGGACAGGUCACUUUUUUGACUAAACAACUUGGUAUAAAGUGAAGUGAUCCCACUCCACUUCUUGUCUAAGGAAGGGCAUUAGUUGCCCAAGGUCCCUUGAUGCCUACCUGAAACAGCAGAGAAGGCACACGGAGACUCCAUAAUGGUUUAGAAGUGCAAGGCUUUAAUGGGUAGCCAUCUCCAAGACAAUGGGUAGUCAUCAGGGCUGCACCAGAAUACAAGUACUGAGUUGUCCGCCUUUCUUACUGGAGCAAUGCCAGUGUCACGCUGAAUCUGUCCUUGAGCCUGCAAAACCUUACUCUGAUUCUGCUACCAAUUACCCUGCCAUGCGCUUCCUGUUCAGGGCUCACCCUCUGAACCCCACCUAGGCUCAAGAAAACUAUUUUACAGGGGCAUUCUGAUAUCUAGGGCAAAUGGUGCACAGCACUGUAUAAAUGAAAAGUAAAAGUAGACUGUAAGCAGAAUUCCAGCAAGGCUCCGCUGGAUUCUUCUUAAUCAUCCUCUGUAAGGUGGAUAGGAAGUUCUUUGUAAAUUGGCACGUUUCACUGUCAGUUUUGUUUCAUCAGAGAUGGUUCUCAAAUGUUCUCUUUUCAUUUUCUGUUAUUCGAAUAUCUGUGAUUUGUGGAAAAGAAAACUAUACUUUUCUCCUUUUUGUGUCUGCUACUAGUACCUUUGUAGCUGAAUAACAGAGAGCUCCUUAAGUUUCAGCUCAAACAGAGUAUGUGCAGUCAUACCCAACACAGUGAUGCUGUGAUGGUAUUUUGGUUCAGCUGUUGGUUUUUAUUCCUUCGGAGUAAGAGAAGAGGAAAUAAAAUAAUAAUGAUUUUAGACUAAAUUUUCAAUGAUUUAAAAGACACACAAGUCCCAAACUUAUUUACCCUCUGCACAGUAAGUUGGGAAUUCUGGGUUGUAUUCAACAAGGGCAUAGUGCUUCUAGAAGGCCUUCACUCCUGCAGUGGGACUAUUCCUCCCCUGUUCCCCCAGUGCUUCCCAAAUCUGCUCUGGAUUCCACCCCCCCCCCCCAGGUCUGGAGCAGUUCUGGGGGAGUGUAAGGGUACAUUGUGUGGGCACUAGAAGUUCUGUUUUGCAAGCAGCAGUCAUUCCAUCAGUGUGAUUCCUUUGUUGGGCAGAAUGUUAAACAGAGGGGGCACCAAAUAAAUUCACUUAGUAACAACAGGGUAAGAAGCAAUUAAGAGUCAGGAUUCCAGACAUAGCCAGAAUUAACAGCAUUUCAGUCAAGAUGCCAAAAGAAACAGGGCAGAAUAAUGUGCCUGUUUCUUUCCAGAAGGCAUAGGAAGAACCAAUAUGGUUUCUGCCAUUCUUAAGAUAUCCAGUUCUCAUAGAACUAUAGGCAGCUGCCUUAUACUGAGUCAGACCACUGGUCCAUCUAGCUUAAUAAUGCCUACACUGUUUGGCAGCAGCUCUCUGGGGUUUCAGACAGGGAACAAUUCUCAGUCCCACCAGGAAAUGCCAGGGGUUGAACUUGGAACCUUCUGCAUGCAAAGCAGAUGUCCUGCCACUGAGCUACGACCCAGUUCAAGGGACAGCCUUACCACUUGGCAGAAUGAGGUGGAUGCCACAGGCAGCCAAUGCUGAAGCAGGGGCAUGGGAGUAGUGGCAAAAUGUUGGGGACAGAGCUGUGUAUGCUACUUGGCCUGCCCUGCAUCUGUAAGUGCAGUGAAGGAUACUGUCCCUGUAUUGAAGUAAGACUCAAAACUGCCAGUCAAGUCAGUUUCUGUCCACAGGGGUAGAGGAACAGCAUCUUGUCCUUCUCAGGCAGCAGAAUGUCUUAGGCCGGCUCUUUCAGGUUCUAAACUGGAUCAAGCUACUCUUGCCAACUGCUUGUUAUUAUUAUUUUUUUUAACUUUAGGACCAACACAGAAAGGAAUAAUCCAAGUAGGUUUUUUUUUUUUAAUCAUCACCAUCAUCAUGAAGGCAAACAGAGUUUGUUCAUGGGCUGCCCUAUGAUUCAGAUGUUCCAGCCUGUGGAUAAACAAAGCUGCAAAAUAAAGGUCAUUUUAAUCAGGCAUCACAUGUGAAAAUUACCUGAGGGCAAAUAAAUGCAAGUAUCAGAUUCUUAUCAGAUCCCUGGGAUAAUAAUAGCCGGGUCACUGGGGAGAGUCUGUUAGUGUUGGCCCACUGGGUCAUAUAACAAUGCAAACGCUCCCUUUGGCUUCCCACUGCUGUGACCCGUCCAUCUGCUUCUCUCUGGCCAUAUGUCAGAGAACUAUCAAAGACUACAAACAUCUGAGUUUUAUGCAUCUGAAUGUUCUUCAGUUUUCAUUGAAGCUUCAUAGAAAUGCUGCUGCUCUGAAAUUCUUCUUUCAUAAAAGGGCUUUUUGUACUUUUAAGUUGAGUGUUAACAUUCUAGUAUUGAUAUUAUUAGGAGUUGUAUUUGCAUAGUGCUGCUGUAACGGCUUGUAGCUGAGCCCAGGAAAGUUCGCCCAAUGCACCAUUAUCACUUUAUUGUGAUAAUUUUUAAGUCACAUCUUGGGGAGAGAAAACAGAUGGAAGUAUGUGUGUGUGUGUGUUUAAUAGCAGCACUAAUAUGAAGCUCAUAAUAAAAAACUAAAUGGUUUCAGUAUCAAAUAUGUCAUAAAAGAUUAAAAUGUUUUCCAACGAAACAGAAAAUGUGUGAC
RNAcentral lists this long non-coding RNA (4315 nucleotides) under Podarcis lilfordi (Lilford's wall lizard). Lineage: Eukaryota; Metazoa; Chordata; Lepidosauria; Squamata; Lacertidae. The record is from RNAcentral.